AUUGAACGCUGGCGGCAGGCUUAACACAUGCAAGUCGAACGAGUGGGGGACGGGUGAGUAAUGCGGGGGAAUCUGGCUUAUGGAGGGGGAUAACGACGGGAAACUGUCGCUAAUACCGCGUACCCUAGUAUGAGCCCAAGUGGGAUUAGUGUGUGGGUGGGGUAAUGGCCUACCAAGCCGACGAUCUCUAGCUGGUCUGAGAGGAUGACCAGCCACACGGGGACUGAGACACGGCCCAGACUCCUACGGGAGGCAGCAGUGGGGAAUAUUGCACAAUGGGGGCAAGCCUGAUGCAGCCAUGCCGCGUGUAUGAAGAAGGCCGUAGGGUUGUAAAGUUCUUUCAGUGAGGAGGCGUUACCGACAGAAGAAGCACCGGCUAACUCCGUGCCAGCAGCCGCGGUAAUUC
RNAcentral lists this ribosomal RNA (406 nucleotides) under uncultured bacterium. RNAcentral's name for it is "partial 16S ribosomal RNA". It matches the Rfam family "Bacterial small subunit ribosomal RNA", at positions 30 to 526 of the family's 1533-position model. The record is from RNAcentral.